AACCGGGUAUGACGGAGCGGCGAACGGGUGCGUAACACGUGACCAAUCUGCCCCGAAGACCGGGAUAGCCCGAGGAAACUCGGAUUAAUACCGGAUAUCUUCUUCGAGCCGCAUGGCUCUUUGAAGAAAGCUCCGGCGCUUCGGGAUGAGGUCGCGGCCCAUCAGCUUGUUGGUGAGGUAAUGGCCCACCAAGGCAACGACGGGUAGCUGGUCUGAGAGGACGAUCAGCCACACUGGAACUGAGACACGGUCCAGACUCCUACGGGAGGCAGCAGCAGGGAAUCUUGCGCAAUGGGCGAAAGCCUGACGCANCGACGCCGCGUGGGGGAUGAAGGCCUUCGGGUUGUAAACCCCUUUCAGGAGGGAAGAAAAUGACGGUACCUCCAGAAGAAGCCCCGGCCAACUACGUGCCAGCAGCCNCGGUAAUACUUAGGGCGCGAGCGUUGUCCGGGAUUUUUGGGCUUAAAGGGCUCGUACGCGGC
Molecule: ribosomal RNA, 482 nt
Filed under: uncultured Actinomycetes bacterium
Lineage: Bacteria; Bacillati; Actinomycetota; Actinomycetes
Description: bacterial SSU rRNA
Rfam family: Bacterial small subunit ribosomal RNA
Source: RNAcentral